Long non-coding RNA from Astyanax mexicanus (Mexican tetra), 604 nucleotides. RefSeq lists it as uncharacterized. The transcript has 2 exons. Lineage: Eukaryota; Metazoa; Chordata; Actinopteri; Characiformes; Acestrorhamphidae. The record is from RefSeq and is a predicted model, not a curated record.
GGCAUGGACCUUUAUUUUGCUUUUUGCUGUGUUCCACUUCCUGGAGCGGCCAUUUUGUCUCUUCCUGGUUAGGCUUAUUGUUGCUGUUUUUCCCCCUUCAUGUAGUGGCUAAUUAGCAAAAUGGUUUCCUCCAUGCUCUGAUUGGUUUAGGCCCUGUUAAUUAGCCCCUUUGGCCUCCUUAAAGCAGACAACACAUGCACCCUUGCUCUCCAUUUCUGAUUUGCCCCUCUAGCUGCUGCUGGAAGCUCCUGUUUGAAGCCAAUGCUGUUCAUGCUUUUAAGGUAAUUAUUACUGUUUUUAAGUACUUGAUUAAAAGCUAAUGUGUUAGUAUUUCUUAUCUUUGGUGUUUAAUGACUGUUUGUUUUAUUAGGAUCAGUUCCUGACUAUUGCCUUGAUUUUAUGUACGGUAGGCCCAGCCAUUCGGGUUUUAAGGCCCCUUGGAUGUGUGGAUUUAAGCAGUGGUGUUCAGUUGCAUAAAGAGCCCUGUGUUUUAAUUGAAUAACUAUAUUCUUGAUUUGGUACCAAUGUUUUAAUGAAAGUAAAAAUAAAUGUGAAUGAGAUUUCUAUUUUGUGUGGAAAAUAAAUUAAUUGUUUUGGAAACUUG